GCCUGGGUGGCUCAGUCGGUUGAGUGUCUGACUUCGGCUCAGGUCAUGAUAUCGCGGUUUGUGGGUUCGAGCCCCGCGAUGGGCU
RNAcentral lists this transfer RNA (85 nucleotides) under Felis catus (domestic cat). It matches the Rfam family "tRNA". From Rfam's summary of the family: Transfer RNA (tRNA) molecules are approximately 80 nucleotides in length. The record is from Rfam by way of RNAcentral. Lineage: Eukaryota; Metazoa; Chordata; Mammalia; Carnivora; Felidae.